GUCUAUGGCCAUGCUACCCUGAACAAGCCCGAUCCCCGUCUGAUGUCAGAAGCUAAGCAGGGUCGGGCCUGGUUAGUACUUGGAUGGGAGACCACCUAGGAAGACCAGGUGCUGUAGGCG
This 120-nucleotide ribosomal RNA is filed under the name Pteropus alecto (black flying fox). The record is from RNAcentral. Lineage: Eukaryota; Metazoa; Chordata; Mammalia; Chiroptera; Pteropodidae. RNAcentral also lists the same sequence under 1 other name.